AAGUCGUAACAAGGUUUCCGUAGGUGAACCUGCGGAAGGAUCAUUAACGAGUUUUGAAACGAGUUGUAGCUGGCCUUCCGAGGCAUGUGCACGCUCUGCUCAUCCACUCUACCCCUGUGCACUUACUGUAGGUUGGCGUGGGCUCCUUAACGGGAGCAUUCUGCCGGCCUAUGUAUACUACAAACACUUUAAAGUAUCAGAAUGUAAACGCGUCUAACGCAUCUAUAAUACAACUUUUAGCAACGGAUCUCUUGGCUCUCGCAUCGAUGAAGAACGCAGCGAAAUGCGAUAAGUAAUGUGAAUUGCAGAAUUCAGUGAAUCAUCGAAUCUUUGAACGCACCUUGCGCUCCUUGGUAUUCCGAGGAGCAUGCCUGUUUGAGUGUCAUGGAAUUCUCAACUUAUAAAUCCUUGUGAUCUAUAAGCUUGGACUUGGAGGCUUGCUGGCCCUUGCGGUCGGCUCCUCUUGAAUGCAUUAGCUCGAUUCCGUACGGAUCGGCUCUCAGUGUGAUAAUUGUCUACGCUGUGACCGUGAAGUGUUUUGGCGAGCUUCUAACCGUCCAUUAGGACAACUUUUUAACAUCUGACCUCAAAUCAGGUAGGACUACCCGCUGAACUUAAGCAUAUCAAUAAGCGGAGGAAAAGAAACUAACAAGGAUUCCCCUAGUAACUGCGAGUGAAGCGGGAAAAGCUCAAAUUUAAAAUCUGGCGGUCUUUGGCCGUCCGAGUUGUAGUCUGGAGAAGCGUCUUCCGCG
This 752-nucleotide small RNA is filed under the name Trametes versicolor. RNAcentral describes it as "eukaryotic LSU rRNA". The stretch from base 232 to 385 matches the Rfam family "5.8S ribosomal RNA". The record is from RNAcentral. Lineage: Eukaryota; Fungi; Basidiomycota; Agaricomycetes; Polyporales; Polyporaceae.